This 64-nucleotide ribosomal RNA is filed under the name Inocybe vulpinella. RNAcentral describes it as "partial 18S ribosomal RNA". The record is from RNAcentral. Lineage: Eukaryota; Fungi; Basidiomycota; Agaricomycetes; Agaricales; Inocybaceae.
CUUNGUCAUUAGAGGAGUAAAAGUCGUACANGUUCCGUAGGUGAACCAUGCGAAGGGAUCAUUA